This 206-nucleotide unclassified non-coding RNA is filed under the name Hevea brasiliensis (rubber tree). The record is from RNAcentral. Lineage: Eukaryota; Viridiplantae; Streptophyta; Magnoliopsida; Malpighiales; Euphorbiaceae.
GAGAACUAACAAAACAACGAGAUGGAGGAGACAAUUGAUCAUAACAUUCAAAAGAAGAAAUAGGGCAAGUACAUUGACGCUUACUUUUGCAGAGAGUAAUGGGAAGAUCUAAGUCAGACUAGGAGUAGUGUAUGGAACUAGAUCUUCCGACGAAGAUGCAGGUGGAGGAUUUGAGUCAAGAGUCUCUAAUCUCCUAGAAUAAACAU